GAUGAACGCUAGCGGCAGGCUUAAUACAUGCAAGUCGAGGGGCAGCAUGACUGUAGCAAUACAGUUGAUGGCGACCGGCAAACGGGUGCGGAACACGUACAGAACCUUCCUUCGAGCGGGGAAUAGCCCAGAGAAAUUUGGAUUAAUACCCCAUAGCAUAUUGAUGAGGCAUCUCAUUAAUAUUAAAGAUUUAUCACUUGAAGAUGGCUGUGCGGCUGAUUAGGUAGUUGGCGGGGUAACGGCCCACCAAGCCUUCGAUCAGUAACUGGUGUGAGAGCACGACCAGUCACACGGGCACUGAGACACGGGCCCGACUCCUACGGGAGGCAGCAGUAAGGAAUAUUGGUCAAUGGACGAAAGUCUGAACCAGCCAUGCCGCGUGAAGGAUGAAUGCCCUCUGGGUUGUAAACUUCUUUUAUAUGGGACGAAAAAAGAUCUUUCUAGAUCACCUGACGGUACCAUAUGAAUAAGCA
Molecule: ribosomal RNA, 473 nt
Filed under: uncultured bacterium
Lineage: Bacteria
Description: bacterial SSU rRNA
Rfam family: Bacterial small subunit ribosomal RNA
Source: RNAcentral